GUGCUCGCUUCGGCAGCACAUAUACUAAACUUGGAAGAAUACAGAGAAGAUUAGCAUGGCCCCUGCACAAGGAUGACAUGGCAAUUCAUGAAGCGUUCCAUAUUUUU
Small nuclear RNA from Jaculus jaculus (lesser Egyptian jerboa), 107 nucleotides. Lineage: Eukaryota; Metazoa; Chordata; Mammalia; Rodentia; Dipodidae. The record is from Ensembl.